This 125-nucleotide ribosomal RNA is filed under the name Petromyzon marinus (sea lamprey). Lineage: Eukaryota; Metazoa; Chordata; Hyperoartia; Petromyzontiformes; Petromyzontidae. The record is from RNAcentral.
GCCACCGAACAAAGUGCCAUGCAUGGUUGUGCCCAAUCUCGUCAGAUCUUGGAAGCUAAAGCAGGGUUGUGUCUGGUUAGUAUUUAGAUGGAAGCCUGCCUGGUAAUAUCAAAUACCAGAUGUUU